ACAGGGGCCACAGUGGGGGAGGAAGAGAGCGAGGCGCUCUGUGGAGACAGAGGAAGGUGGAGGAGUGUGUGCAGCAGGUGGCGGAGAGCGUGGGCUCAGUCUGAGCGACGGAGGGCAGCAGAUUUACGUCGAUUUAAGCAGGACGGGGGAGAGAUUUCCAGGAUCGCUAACGCAAAAGAAGCGCUCGCUGCUGUUCUUCCUGGAGGAACGCCUGCUUCUCCAUCAGCUUCCUGAACAGUCCCUGCCUGUUUCCCAGCAGCUCCGUGGGCUGGCCGCACUCGGCCACCCGCUGCUGGUCCAGGACGGCCACGGAGUCGGCGUUCUUGAUGGUGGACAGGCGUUGCAACGACUAAAUGAAUGGUCUACCUUCCAUGAGUCUCUCCAAAGCCUCCUGAACAAGGAACUCGUUCUCAGCAUCCAAAGCACUGAAGUAAAGAAGAAAUUAUAAGUUUUUGUGAACAUAAUUUUGCUUUCAGAAGGCUAAAAGCUAAAAGCCACCAGUCAAAACACUGAAAGCAAAAACUCAGUCAGUCAGUCUAACCUGGUGGCCUCGUCUAACAGCAGGAUCUUUGGGUUCUGAAAAAAAGAAACAUUAAAAUGACAAAUUCAUGUUUUUCAGGAAGAAUUUCUCUACCAAUUUGUAAUUUAUGCCCAUUAGAUACUUUUGUACCGUUUCUCGAUGUAACCCUACUUUAAUCUUCCUUACCCCUCUACUCCUCAUUAUGUACAGAAAUAAAGAGGUAAAUAUACAUCUUAUGCAUUGAAAACAACAGAAAACAUGUGGUUACCUUGAGCAGAGCUCUGGCGAUGGCUAUCCUCUGCUUCUGACCACCUGACAUCCAGACACAGAUCAAUGAAGACUUUGUACGGCGCAUACAGAGGCAAAACCAGACGAUCACACAUGCAGGAGUUCCGCGCAGGGUUGCUAGGUAACAGGCCUGUGCCAGGCUGGGGUUGCUAGGUAACAGGCCUGUGCGAGGCUGGGGUUGCUAGGUAACGAUGGAACGUGGCUUAAAGGGGCGGUAUCACGUGAAAGUGACUUUUUUGAGCUUUCCAGCAUGUCAUAAUGUUAUUCCAUUAUUUUUAUGACGUAAAGCACUUUGAAAUGCCUUUUUGCUGAAAUGUGCCAUACAAAUAAAAUUUGAUUGAUUGAUUGAUCGAUCAAAAGCAUACCCGGAGUGUUGCCUUGAUGCAUUAAUGCGUCCAUUAAUGCAUGGAGAUCAAAUACUUUAAUCUGCCGUGGCAACCAUUCAGCUGAGUCCAUUAUAUGAGCCGCUUCUCAGUGCAAUGCUAGCAAAACGUU
Molecule: long non-coding RNA, 1303 nt
Organism: Poeciliopsis prolifica (blackstripe livebearer)
Lineage: Eukaryota; Metazoa; Chordata; Actinopteri; Cyprinodontiformes; Poeciliidae
Exons: 4
Source: RefSeq, a predicted model, not a curated record